AUGGGUCGCCGAGACGCCGAGGCCGAGGUGGAGCUCCAGACCAUCGAGGCCAUGUACGCCGCUGAGUCCACCAGGCACCGCCACCUCCCCGACUGGUCCAAGACACCAGCCCCCGCCCCCGUUCGCCCACGGCCCAACCCAGUCCCCGCGGCUGCGUGUGCCUCCUCGCCGUCGUGGGUCCUCUCGCCCCCCACUUGCCAAGGUGCGGCUCCCCCUCUUUUGCCUCUCAUGUUCUACUCCAAAAUGCUUCUUUUGUCUAUCUUGAAGCUUCAGUUAUGCUGCCAAAUUUAG
RNAcentral lists this ribosomal RNA (291 nucleotides) under Triticum aestivum (bread wheat). RNAcentral describes it as "partial small subunit ribosomal RNA". Lineage: Eukaryota; Viridiplantae; Streptophyta; Magnoliopsida; Poales; Poaceae. The record is from RNAcentral.